RNAcentral lists this non-coding RNA (707 nucleotides) under Pan troglodytes (chimpanzee). Lineage: Eukaryota; Metazoa; Chordata; Mammalia; Primates; Hominidae. The record is from RNAcentral.
GCGAGCAGGCGCGUGUGACGUCGGGAGGCGCCGCGGCUCCUCGGCCGCCCCACUCGGUGGUCCCCUGUCUGGACCCAAACUGCUGACUGGCUGACCCGAGUGGUCACAUUUGCCCUCUGGGGCUUUUGAAAAGCUUAAAUCAAAAUUGCUUUUGAAUCUGACAACUCCUGAGGCUACUUUCGCGGCCUCGGGGCUGUUUCAUAUAAGGACGCGAGUUUUCCCGAUCAGGUCGGUCGGCCACGUUACGAUUUCCAAUUUGCGAUCCAUCAGUUACUUCCAUUGGGUCUUCAGCCCGCAGGGACUGUGGAUCCUAGACCCCGCGGAGAAGCCCGUGGACUGGAGCUGUGUCAGCUCUGAUGGAACAAAAACGGAGGCACAGAGAGGUCAAUUGAUUGGUCUAAUGACACAGAUCUAGCAAGUGGUGGAACCAGGACUGAAUCCAGAGAAUCUGGAAGACUACUCUGCCAAGACAUCUCAAAAAGUGUGUGUCCGGAAUUGGUGGGUUCUUGGUCUCACUGACUUCAAGAAUGAAGCCGCGGACCCUUGCGGAACUGUGAAGAUUAGAGUGACCUUAGAGAUCUCAUCUGGAAGAUGGUAGAACUGCUAUCAGCCUGGGUUCCCAAAUGACCUCCUGGAUCACAGCUACCCAUGGCCUGAAAUGUUGACCUUGGAGUUGUUGCAUAGGAAAGAAAUAAACUUCUUUGUUC